RNAcentral lists this long non-coding RNA (5671 nucleotides) under Podarcis lilfordi (Lilford's wall lizard). The stretch from base 5244 to 5312 matches the Rfam family "tRNA". The record is from RNAcentral. Lineage: Eukaryota; Metazoa; Chordata; Lepidosauria; Squamata; Lacertidae.
GCGCAGAACAGCAGCCGGAAGCCGGAGUACGGCCGAGUGCAUGGGGUGCAUGAGGGUCGGCGGAGCUUCCCAACGGUGAGUGGAUGGAAGGGGAGUGACGCCAGGGGCCGCAAGGGGGCGCUGUGGCCCGGGAUGCUCCUGGCCCUUCUGCACUUGUGGGCAAGGGGAGGCAGAACUGGGAGGUGGUGGGAGGGAGGGAAGUGGGGCUGGGUUCUCCCUCUCCUUCUCCCUGUCCCUCUCCCUCUUCUUCUUCCUCUCCUUCUCCUUGUCCCUCUCCUUCUCCCCCUUCCACUUCCUCUUCCUCUCCCUCUUCUUCCUCUUCCUCUCCCUCUCCCUCUCCCUCUCCCUCUCCCUCUCCUUUUUCUUCUUCCUCUCCUUCACAUCUGGGCAAGAAGUCUCGCUUUCCUCCAUCAACAGGGCCAUCUGCAAGCCCAACGUCCCUCACCACCACCUCAUGGUCCAAAGAACCAUCAGACAUGAACCCUUCUUCCCAAGCUUGGAGCUGGGAAGGGGUUGAUGAACACACACCCUUUUGACACUUCCAUGGAGCUUGUUGGCUUGCAGUUGAGGAGAUCCAGGUGUCUCGGCCAGGCAAGGACCUAUAAAGCCCGCUUGAAGGGGUUACACUGCCUCUGAAGGAGCGGGCACGUAGCUUGAGGGUGCUUCUGGGUCAUCGCUGUCCCUUGACGCUCAAGUGGCCUCGGUGGUGGUGUGGAGUGCCUUCCAUCAGCUUCGGCUGGUGGUUCAGCUGCGCUCCUAUCGAGUCAGCCUAACCACCAGGUUAUAUUACUGCAACACAUUAUUUGUGGCACUGUUUGUGAAGACAGCUCGGAAACUUAACUAGUGCAGAAUUUGUGGUUGCUCACUGGGGCAAGAUGGUUUGAGCAUACCAUGCCAAUCCUGGCUCGACUGCACUGGCUACCAGCUAGUUUCCGGGGCCAAUUCAAAGGGCUGGUUUUGACCUAUAAAGCCUUAGACGGCUCAGGAUCGCAAUAUCUCAGGGACCGCCUCUCCCCAUAUGAGCCAACCCGGACCUUGCGGUCAUGACCUGAGACCCUUCUUUGUGUGCCUCCUCUGCAAGAGGUCCGGAGGGUGCCUACACAAGAACGGGCCUUUUUGGGGUAGCUCCCUGCUUUUUUGGGUAGCUCCCUGCUUGUGGAAUGGUCUCCCUAGGUAGGUUCGGUUGGUGCCAAGCAAAAAUGUCCCUCUUCUCCUAGGCCUUUGGCUAAUUCAACAAUCUGUGUCCAUUUAAACUGGGGGGAAGUUUUUAUUGUUUUUGUUUGUUGCUAUAUAUUUUUGUGUUUCUAUAUUGUAAACCGCCCUGUGCUGCUUGGCUGAAGGGCAGGUGUACAAAUUAAAUCAAUAACAGUAAGAGUAAUAAUACUGUUGUGUUCCUGAGGCUUCUCGGUAUCAUAUGUUUAAGAAAGCCCACUGUUUGCUGUUCUCGGAGGCAGGCCUGAGACUUCCUGGCUCUCUCUAUUGCUUUGGAACAGAAAAAGGUGGUGGUUGGCCAACCAGUUUGGCCAAUACCUUUCUAUUGCUUCUGUGAUGUGUAGGGCUGGUGCUAGGAAGCUGCCAUCUCAUCAUGGGCGUAGCCAAGGGGGUGGGGCCUAGAUCCACAAAUAUUAUUGAAAAGCAUUGCAAGUGCUCAAUUAUCUGAGGUUCUGCCUCCCCCUUUGGCUGCUCCCCUCCUAACAAAAAUCCUGGCUACGCCCAUGCAUCUCAUACCUCCAAAAAUGCAUUGCCUGUGUUGGGCAUUACAGUUUGGGAGAUGAAUGGUGGUGGCUGCCCAACUUGCAUACAAAGGCACUGCCAAUGCCUAGUAAGCAUGUUCAUGGAGAGGGAAUAACUGGCAGCACCAAUACCAGGGCGGACGUCCCAGUGACUGGCAGCACCAGUGCCUGGUAGGGGCAGAGGUUGCAGUGCUGAGUGAAUGAAGCAAUCACCUGGGGCAGUUAAAAGGCAGUAAUUAUUUAAUUGUUAGGGGUUUUUUUUAAGUAACCAAAUUUAUAUACCGAUUACUCAAACGAAAGGCUUCUGGCCCUCCUGUGGCACAGUGGGUCAGUGCGUCUGGAAGGUUGGUGUUUUGAGCCCACCCAGGGACAUUUGUGGGCAGGAUUCCUGUAUUGGAUUCGAUGAUCCUUGGGAUCCCUUCAAAUUCUACAACUCUAUAACUCUAAGUGACUUAAUUUGAAAUAUUAAUUUAAGAUACUGAAAAAGAAAACACAGGUUAUAUAUAGUGUGUUGUAUAAGUUAAAUUAUUUUAAAAAUAAAGAUCUUUACCAAAAUCACAGGUUGAAAAUUGCAUGCUAAAAUUACAUGCCUAGGAAAGCUUGCUGAAACAAAAGUGCCUCCAAGUUCUACUUCUUCAGGUGAAUUGUGUAGUCAUUUGGUGCCUGCGGUCUGUCCCUUGUAUGUAACUCAUUCCUUGAAGAGCUCACAUUUAUCACAGUUGAUUCAUAAUCCACGUUCCUUCAGCCUCUUGAGAACAUGUUCCAGAUUCUUCAUAUGAUCCUCAUCACUAGGUGAUGUCAUCCAGAUUGUAUCUGUAACUGGUCAUAGUAUCAAUGCCUACCAAAUUGUUAGUGAAGGUGCCGCUCCAAAUACCAAUUGGUUACACUGGAACAAACCCUUUUCAGGGUUGAUGGUGGUCAGAAACUUGAUUCCUCCUCCUCUUCUUCUUCCAUUUGGAGAUGAACCUGUGCCACAUCUGGUUUACUAAACUCCUUUCCUUCAGAUAACAGUAAGAAAAUAUCCUCAGUUUGAGUCAGGGAGCCAUUUCCCGCUCUUAGCAGUGGGUUAAUGAUCUCCAUGAAGUCACGGCAGACCUGUUUCAGCUCAUACUUUUUUGCCCAUAAUUGGAUCAUAAAGUUCCAGCUACCCAUUGAACCAAUGGCUAUGAAUUACUGGUUUGUGGCUGUGAAGUGCUUGGAUGCCAAUAUAAAUGUUAAGUGAUUGUUAUAUUACCUGGCAGAAAAUUAUUAGAAAUAUACCUAGUUUUAAUAGUUAUUUCUACCUUAACCACAGGUGUGCGCCGUGUGUAAGCAUGUACCAACUGAUGUAGUAGGUCUGAUGGGAAUAAUUUUUAUUGGCUGUGUGAAAGCAUGCUCUUUAGCUUUGGAGUUGGCUGAGAUUAGCAAUAUUUGAUAUAGAUAGUACAAUUGAAGGUGUGAAAUGCCUGCUAAACGUUUGUGUGGCACACUGGGAUUAGCUUUUAAAAAAUAGAUUAUUUGUUUAAUUAAAUUAUCUACAAAUGGGUACUUGUGCUAAAAGGGCUGGUUUACAGCAGGGUCACUUUGGAAACAUGCAUACACCAAAGAAAAAGUUACCAGCACCCUGAAGUUCCCUUGGUUUGAUUGCACAUAAACUUGUUGAAUUCAUUUGUUUUAAAAUUAAUGUUAAUUGCCUCAAAGGCAUUUUACAGAUGUACCACAAAAAUGGCUAAGAAUAAUUUCAAAAACAGUUUUUUUAAAAAAACCACAAUGCUAAAAGCAAAUAACUAAAGACAGGUUUAAAAACACUACAAAAUUAACACCUAAGGCAGCUGGAGAAGCUUGUUGAAACAAAAAUGUAUCCAACUGUUGCCAGAAACUACAGAUAACCAAGUAUCCCUCCUGUAUAGCACUUUGACAGCUAUGCAAAGUUUGAUAGCAGUAUAGUAGUCUUCCCUCUGUAAUGCUUGGAUUUUUCUUGAUUCUGUGGCACUUGAUUUCACAACUCAUGCUCUUUUUAUUACGAUAAUUAUUUGUCGGCUUAAUCACUUUUGCUGUCACUAGGAGGCUAAUUGGCAGAGUUCUGGUAAUAGACAACUUGCAGCGUGUUCCCAGCCAUGCUUACUUUGAAUUCAGUGGUAUUUAUUUUCCUUUUAGGAUCAUCACAGCCGUACAGGGGCCUACCUGAGUGUACCUUGGGGUGGAAAACCUGUGGGUGUCCAGAUGCUGUUGUACUACAACUCCCAUCAUCCUUGGCCAUUGGCCAUGCUGGUUGAGGGUCGAUGGGAGUUGGAGUCCAGCAAUAUUUGGACAGCCGCAGAUUUCCCAUCCCUGGUAUGCCUAGCUGUUAUGCUGUUCCUUCCAAUUGUUAAUAGCAAAACUGCAAUAAUGCACCCAAGCGCAGCUGUGGGCAGGAUUCCUGCAUUAUGGGGGAUUGAACUAGAUGACUCUCAGGGUCCCUUCCAACUCUACAGUUCUAUGAUUCUAUGGUAGUAAAAACGAGAACCGAUGAAGCAGUGAUGCUGGUCUUUCCCACAACCCCCCUAGCAACAUCAUUGCCAUCUUACCGAAAUGUAAGCAACUUCACUUAACACGUGGAGCACCUUUGUAAAGAAAACUUUUUUAACUAUGGCGAAAAAGAAAACACCUGUGCCAAUUUUCUGAUAUGGCAGAUAUCAUAAGGGAUGCAAAAUCUGUUAAUCUGAGCAAUAACACAAUAUGCUAAAACAGCACCUAUCGUUGCACAUGUUGAUGAAAUUCUCAGCACUUAUGGCACAGUACAGGAAAAUGUGUCGGGCAACCUGCUCUGUGCUUGAUGGCGCUCACAGAAUAAAAGGAGUUGCAACGGCUAUUUAAAGCUAGUUGCGAUGCGAUGUAGAAGAUUAAGAAAGGCUGUUCAUGCAAUCUGUGAUAUUCAAGGAAGAGAGGAAUUUAGGUGGAGUUCAGUGGCAGUGUGUAGGUGUAGCAGAAGAAAUGCGGUUUGACUUGUAGUAGUAGUAAUGAUAGUAAUAAUAAUGUAUUACCCUGCCCAUCUGGUGUAGGACUUUACAUAUGACUACCUGAAUUCUUAAUUGGAUGCAGGUGCAGAAUUUAUAUAGGAGAAGUCUGGGGUUGCUUGAGAGAGAUUUGAAACACAUUUGGUUGGUCUAUACUUAUGGUUUGUAGGCAAAGUGUGAAAUUAAGAGUAGAGUAAAGCCGCCCCUUAGAUAAAUAUCUGAUUUGUUUAAAGUUUUUGCUCAAGUACAGCCUGUUCAUAAACAAGUUGAUCUGAACCUGUGGGAGUUUGAUUCUACGUCACGAUCAGAUCAUUUCCCAAUGAAGUUUACACUGGUGGUAGUCUCCACAGGGAUGAUGGAUCUAUGAGUAUUUGGCUGAUGGAAUCCGAGGGAUUGUUUUUAGUUUCCUUGCCAAGUUCUCUAUUUGGCAGAGCAAGUACUUCUGUUGAAAACCUAGUCCAGGAACGUUCAUGUUUGCCUUGACUUGAAUGCCUCCGUUUCUAUAGCUCAUUCAAGGGAGAUGUUGAGAACACCUGUUAGUCUGGUUUAGUAGAGCAUAAGACUCUUAAUCUUAGUGUCAUGGGUUUGAGCCCCAAGUUGAGCAAAAAAAAGAUUCCUACACUGGACUGGUUCACCCUUGUGGUUCUUUCCAACUCUACAGUUCUAUGGUUCUCUGACCAGAGGAUGUGGAUGAGUUUGCUUAGAGAGGUGCAGCAAUAACAUUUCUUGCAGACCCUUUCCUGGCACGGCUGAUACCAGGAUGUGGAUGUGGUUAAUGCCUCUUUGCAAGAGGGGGUAAUUCUGGCCAGCUUGGAAAAGCUGUUUGUGAUAUGAUUCCUAAGGAAACUUAUACCAGACCCCCCCCCAAAAAAAGCUAUAACAAGCCCUGGCCAGUUGCAAAUAUCUUGUUCUUAUCUUAGGCAAAGUGAUCAAGUAGAUGGUGGCUGUGCAACUUUCACCUUU